RNAcentral lists this long non-coding RNA (661 nucleotides) under Numida meleagris (helmeted guineafowl). RNAcentral's name for it is "lncRNA (ENSNMEG00000003875.1)". The record is from RNAcentral. Lineage: Eukaryota; Metazoa; Chordata; Aves; Galliformes; Numididae.
UCCAAAUUUAGGGGAUUUUGGGGCUUCAGAAUCCCCAUUUUUGGGGUCAAACUCUUCAGUUUUGGGGUCCAAAUUUUGGGGAUUUUGGGGCUUCAGAAACUCAAUUUUUGGGGGUCAAAAUUAUGGGAUUUUGGGUCUAAAGAAUCCCCAUUUCUGGGAUCCAAGUUUAUGGGAUUUCGGGGCUUCAGAAUCCCUAUUUUUGGGUCCAAAUUUAGGGGAUUUUGGGGCUUCAGAAUCCCCAAUUUUGGGGUCAAACUCUUCAGUUUUGGGGUCCAAAUUUAGGGGAUUUUGGGUCUACAGAACCUCAAUUUUGGGGGUCAAAAUUUGUAGGAUUUUGGGUCUUCAGAAUCCCCAUUUUUGGGGUCCAAAUUUAGGGGAUUUUGGGGCUUCAGAAUCCCCAUUUUUGGGGUCAAACUCUUCAGUUUUGGGGUCCAAAUUUAGGGGAUUUUGGGUCUUCAGAAUCCCCAUUUUGGGGGUCCAAAUUUAGGGGAUUUCGGGUCUUCAGAAUCCCCAUUUUUGGGGUCAAACUCUUCAGUUUUGGGGUCCAAAUUUAGGGGAUUUCAAGUCCUCAGAAUCCCCAUUUUUGGUUCCCCACAACCUCCCUUUUUGGGGCCAACCCCUCCGCUUCCACCGUCCCCAAAACCCCCGAUUUUCCCUUUUU